RNAcentral lists this ribosomal RNA (1145 nucleotides) under Enterococcus casseliflavus. RNAcentral describes it as "bacterial SSU rRNA". It matches the Rfam family "Bacterial small subunit ribosomal RNA", at positions 55 to 1176 of the family's 1533-position model. The record is from RNAcentral. Lineage: Bacteria; Bacillati; Bacillota; Bacilli; Lactobacillales; Enterococcaceae.
AUGCAGUCGACGCUUUUUCUUUCACCGGAGCUUGCUCCACCGAAAGAAAAAGAGUGGCGAACGGGUGAGUAACACGUGGGUAACCUGCCCAUCAGAAGGGGAUAACACUUGGAAACAGGUGCUAAUACCGUAUAACACUAUUUUCCGCAUGGAAGAAAGUUGAAAGGCGCUUUUGCGUCACUGAUGGAUGGACCCGCGGUGCAUUAGCUAGUUGGUGAGGUAACGGCUCACCAAGGCAACGAUGCAUAGCCGACCUGAGAGGGUGAUCGGCCACACUGGGACUGAGACACGGCCCAGACUCCUACGGGAGGCAGCAGUAGGGAAUCUUCGGCAAUGGACGAAAGUCUGACCGAGCAACGCCGCGUGAGUGAAGAAGGUUUUCGGAUCGUAAAACUCUGUUGUUAGAGAAGAACAAGGAUGAGAGUAAAAUGUUCAUCCCUUGACGGUAUCUAACCAGAAAGCCACGGCUAACUACGUGCCAGCAGCCGCGGUAAUACGUAGGUGGCAAGCGUUGUCCGGAUUUAUUGGGCGUAAAGCGAGCGCAGGCGGUUUCUUAAGUCUGAUGUGAAAGCCCCCGCUCAACCGGGGAGGGUCAUUGGAAACUGGGAGACUUGAGUGCAGAAGAGGAGAGUGGAAUUCCAUGUGUAGCGGUGAAAUGCGUAGAUAUAUGGAGGAACACCAGUGGCGAAGGCGGCUCUCUGGUCUGUAACUGACGCUGAGGCUCGAAAGCGUGGGGAGCGAACAGGAUUAGAUACCCUGGUAGUCCACGCCGUAAACGAUGAGUGCUAAGUGUUGGAGGGUUUCCGCCCUUCAGUGCUGCAGCAAACGCAUUAAGCACUCCGCCUGGGGAGUACGACCGCAAGGUUGAAACUCAAAGGAAUUGACGGGGGCCCGCACAAGCGGUGGAGCAUGUGGUUUAAUUCGAAGCAACGCGAAGAACCUUACCAGGUCUUGACAUCCUUUGACCACUCUAGAGAUAGAGCUUCCCCUUCGGGGGCAAAGUGACAGGUGGUGCAUGGUUGUCGUCAGCUCGUGUCCUGAGAAGUUGGGUUAAGUCCCGCAACGAGCGCAACCCUUAUUGUUAGUUGCCAUCAUUUAGUUGGGCACUCUAGCGAGACUGCCGGUGACAAACCGGAAGAAGUGGG